GAUGAACGCUGGCGGCGUGCUUAACACAUGCAAGUCGAACGGAAAGGCCCAAGCUUGCUUGGGUACUCGAGUGGCGAACGGGUGAGUAACACGUGGGUGAUCUGCCCUGCACUUCGGGAUAAGCCUGGGAAACUGGGUCUGAUACCGGAUAGGACCACUUCUUGGAUGUUGUGGUGGAAAGUUUUUUCGGUGUGGGAUGAGCUCGCGGCCUAUCAGCUUGUUGGUGGGGUAAUGGCCUACCAAGGCGUCGACGGGUAGCCGGCCUGAGAGGGUGUACGGCCACAUUGGGACUGAGAUACGGCCCAGACUCCUACGGGAGGCAGCAGUGGGGAAUAUUGCACAAUGGGCGCAAGCCUGAUGCAGCGACGCCGCGUGGGGGAUGACGGCCUUCGGGUUGUAAACUCCUUUCGCUAGGGACGAAGCGUUUUGUGACGGUACCUGGAGAAGAAGCACCGGCUAACUACGUG
Molecule: ribosomal RNA, 467 nt
Filed under: uncultured bacterium
Lineage: Bacteria
Description: partial 16S ribosomal RNA
Rfam family: Bacterial small subunit ribosomal RNA
Source: RNAcentral